Molecule: ribosomal RNA, 245 nt
Filed under: uncultured bacterium
Lineage: Bacteria
Description: partial 16S ribosomal RNA
Rfam family: Bacterial small subunit ribosomal RNA
Source: RNAcentral
UACGUAGGGGGCGAGCGUUGUCCGAAUUCACUGGGCGUAAAGCGCGCGUAGGCGGGCUAUUAAGUUGGAGGUGAAAUCCCGGAGCUCAACUCCGGAACUGCCCCCAAAACUGAUAGCCUUGAGGUAUGGAGAGGGAAGUGGAAUUCCAGGUGUAGCGGUGAAAUGCGUAGAUAUCUGGAGGAACACCCGUGGCGAAGGCGGCUUCCUGGCCAUAUCCUGACGCUGAGGUGCGAAAGCUAGGGGAG